AAUAUUUUGGCAGUAUUUUAGUUUAUUUAGAGGAAUCUGUUUAUUAAUUGAUAAUCCACGAUUAAAUUUACUUAAUUUAUUAUUUUGUAUAUCAUUGUUAAAAAAAUAUUUUUUAAUAAUAAUAAUAUUUAAAAAUUUUAAAAAAAAUUAAAUCAAAUCAAGAUGCAGAUUAUAAUUAAGAAUGAAUGGGUUACAAUAAAAUUAUUUAAAUGAAUUUUAAUUUGUAAUAGUUAUAUGAAGGUGGAUUUAAAUGUAAUUU
RNAcentral lists this ribosomal RNA (259 nucleotides) under Sciadia tenebraria. Its description in RNAcentral is "partial 12S ribosomal RNA". Lineage: Eukaryota; Metazoa; Arthropoda; Insecta; Lepidoptera; Geometridae. The record is from RNAcentral.